UUGAUCCUGGCUCAGGAUGAACGCUGGCGGCGUGCCUAACACAUGCAAGUCGAACGGGAAGUCACCUUCGGGUGGAUGGAGAGUGGCGCACGGGUGAGUAACACGUAGCUCAUCUGCCCUGAAGAGCGGGAUAACGCACCGAAAGGUGUGCUAAUACCGCAUAAGCUCCCGAUCUGUAGAGGAUUGAGAGAAAAAGCUACGGCGCUUUGGGAUGAGGCUGCGGCCCAUCAGCUAGUUGGUAGGGUAACGGCUUACCAAGGCAACGACGGGUAGGGGGCCUGAGAGGGUGACCCCCCACACUGGGACUGAGACACGGCCCAGACUCCUACGGGAGGCAGCAGUGAGGAAUAUUGCACAAUGGACGGAAGUCUGAUGCAGCGACGCCGCGUGGGUGAUGAAGGUUUUCGGAUCGUAAAGCCCUUUUCUUGGUGACGAGGAAGGACGGUAGCCAAGGAAGAAGUGUCGGCUAACUACGUGCCAGCAGCCGCGGUAAAACGUAGGACGCAAGCGUUAUCCGGAAUUACUGGGCGUAAAGCGCGUGCAGGCGGGUUCGCAAGUCAUGUGUGAAAGCUCCCGGCUAAACUGGGAGAGGACAGAUGAAACUGCGGGUCUGGAGGGCGACAGAGGAGUGUGGAAUUCCGCGUGUAGUGGUGAAAUGCGUAGAUAUGCGGAGGAACACCAGUGGCGAAGGCGGCACUCUGGGUCGCACCUGACGCUGAGGCGCGAAAGCAUGGGUAGCGAACGGGAUUAGAAACCCCGGUAGUCCAUGCCGUAAACGAUGUACACUAGACGUUCGUUGCACUACGGUGUGAUGAGUGUCGAAGCCAACGCGAUAAGUGUACCGCCUGGGGAGUACGGUCGCAAGGCUAAAACUCAAAGGAAUUGACGGGGGCCCGCACAAGCAGCGGAGCGUGUGGUUUAAUUCGAGGCUACGCGAAGAACCUUACCUGGGUUUGACAUCAUAGUGGACGAAAGUGAAAGCUGGAGGUCCCUUCGGGGCGCUAUGACAGGUGCUGCAUGGCUGUCGUCAGCUCGUGUCGUGAGAUGUUCGGUUAAGUCCGAAAACGAGCGCAACCCUUAGCUUCAGUUACAAGUGUCUGGAGCGACUGCCUGCGGCAAGCAGGAGGAAGGUGGGGAUGACGUCAAGUCAGCAUGGCCUUUAUAUCCAGGGCUACACACACGCUACAAUGGCGCGUACAGUGGGUCGCGAAGCCGCGAGGUGGAGCCAAUCCUUCAAAGCGCGUCGUAGUUCGGAUUACAGGCUGCAACUCGCCUGUAUGAAGUCGGAGUUGCUAGUAACCGCAAAUCAGCACGUUGCGGUGAAUACGUUCCCGGGCCUUGUACACACCGCCCGUCACGUCAUGGAAGCUGGUCACGCCUGAAGUCGGGAAGCUAACCGCAAGGGGGCUACCGCCGAAGG
RNAcentral lists this ribosomal RNA (1420 nucleotides) under uncultured organism. RNAcentral describes it as "bacterial SSU rRNA". It matches the Rfam family "Bacterial small subunit ribosomal RNA". The record is from RNAcentral.